This 76-nucleotide transfer RNA is filed under the name candidate division SR1 bacterium. Its description in RNAcentral is "tRNA-Lys". It matches the Rfam family "tRNA". From Rfam's summary of the family: Transfer RNA (tRNA) molecules are approximately 80 nucleotides in length. The record is from RNAcentral. Lineage: Bacteria; Candidatus Absconditibacteriota.
GGAUCUGUAGCUCAGUUGGUAGAGCAAAGGACUCUUAAUCCUCUGGUCAUGGGUUCGAAUCCCAUCGGGUCCACCA